GAUGAAGAACGUAGCGAAAUGCGAUACGUAAUGUGAAUUGCAGAAUUCAGUGAAUCAUCGAAUCUUUGAACGCAUAUUGCGCUCUUUGGUAUUCCGAAGAGCAUGCUUGUUUGAGUAUCAGUAAACACCUCAACCUCUUCUUGAUUUUUCAAAAGGAGGGUGGACUUGAGCUAUCCCAACAACCUUUACCGGUCGGCGGGCGGCUUGAAAUGCAGGUGCAGCUGGACUUUUAUCUGAGCUAAAAGCAUAUCUAUUUAGUCCUCGUCAAACAGGAUUAUUACUUUUGCUGCAGCUAACAUAAAGGAUAAUUGUCCUCUUUGCUGACUGAUGCAGGAUUUUACGACACUUUAUGUGUUGUUCAACUCGAUCUCAAAUCAAGUAAGACUACCCGCUGAACUUAAGCAUAUUAAUAAGCGGAGGA
This 421-nucleotide unclassified non-coding RNA is filed under the name soil metagenome. RNAcentral's name for it is "partial contains 5.8S ribosomal RNA, internal transcribed spacer 2, and large subunit ribosomal RNA". The stretch from base 1 to 120 matches the Rfam family "5.8S ribosomal RNA", at positions 35 to 154 of the family's 154-position model. The record is from RNAcentral.